GGGCCUAUAGCUCAGCGGUUAGAGCAUCCGACUCAUAAUCGGACGGUCCCAGGUUCGAACCCUGGUGGGCCCA
RNAcentral lists this transfer RNA (73 nucleotides) under Candidatus Zixiibacteriota bacterium. Its description in RNAcentral is "tRNA-Ile". It matches the Rfam family "tRNA". From Rfam's summary of the family: Transfer RNA (tRNA) molecules are approximately 80 nucleotides in length. Their secondary structure includes four short double-helical elements and three loops (D, anti-codon, and T loops). Lineage: Bacteria; Pseudomonadati; Candidatus Zixiibacteriota. The record is from RNAcentral.